This 387-nucleotide ribosomal RNA is filed under the name Triticum aestivum (bread wheat). RNAcentral's name for it is "partial small subunit ribosomal RNA". Lineage: Eukaryota; Viridiplantae; Streptophyta; Magnoliopsida; Poales; Poaceae. The record is from RNAcentral.
AUGGCUCAUGAACAAACCACAAAACUUGGCAAACACUUGAUAGAGAUGAUAUGCCUCUGGACAUGCUUCGACCAUGGUGAGGGAGAGGUCCAGGCGGCAAGUUUGUCUGCUGGGCGGUGGCGAACAAGAUGGGGACAUUGUCUUCUCCACCCGGUGCCAUCAGGCUUUGCUGGAAAAGGGAUGGUGCAGAAUUCACCCAUUAGUGGCACUAUCGUGCCGGCAACCUCUUGCCACCCUCUUUGUCGGCGGUCUAACCUUCUCCCUUCUCUUCAUCGCCUCCCAUCACAAAAUUUUCCAUCGACGGCAUACUUGAUCCCUUCCCCUAUCAGUGUGAUUGCUGCUGCUAUCCACAACGGUCAUCGAUGGAAGGCGGUGUAUGUUGAAUAA